Molecule: ribosomal RNA, 254 nt
Filed under: uncultured bacterium
Lineage: Bacteria
Description: partial 16S ribosomal RNA
Rfam family: Bacterial small subunit ribosomal RNA
Source: RNAcentral
CACGUAGGGGGCAAGCGUUGUCCGGAUUUAUUGGGCGUAAAGAGCUCGUAGGCGGUUUCGUAAGCCGGAUGUGAAAACUCCAGGCUCAACUUGGAGACGCCAUUCGAUACUGCGAUGACUUGAGUCCGGUAGGGGAGUGUGGAAUUCCUGGUGUAGCGGUGAAAUGCGCAGAUAUUAGGAGGAACACCGGCGGCGAAGGCGGCACUCUGGGCCGGUACUGACGCUGAGGAGCGAAAGCGUGGGUAGCAAACAGG